Molecule: transfer RNA, 72 nt
Filed under: Camelus bactrianus (Bactrian camel)
Lineage: Eukaryota; Metazoa; Chordata; Mammalia; Artiodactyla; Camelidae
Also listed under: 2 other names
Rfam family: tRNA
About the family: Transfer RNA (tRNA) molecules are approximately 80 nucleotides in length. Their secondary structure includes four short double-helical elements and three loops (D, anti-codon, and T loops).
Source: Rfam by way of RNAcentral
GAGGGUAUAGCUCAAGUGGUAGAGCACGUGCUUAGCACGCAGGAGGUCCUGGGUUCAGUCCCAAGUACCUCA